RNAcentral lists this small nucleolar RNA (123 nucleotides) under Dasypus novemcinctus (nine-banded armadillo). RNAcentral's name for it is "Small nucleolar RNA SNORA31 (ENSDNOG00000029924.2)". It matches the Rfam family "Small nucleolar RNA SNORA31". Rfam says of the family: ACA31 (SNORA31) belongs to the H/ACA class of snoRNAs which are thought to guide the sites of modification of uridines to pseudouridines. ACA31 is predicted to guide the pseudouridylation of U3713 in 28S rRNA and U218 in 18S rRNA. Lineage: Eukaryota; Metazoa; Chordata; Mammalia; Cingulata; Dasypodidae. The record is from RNAcentral.
AUGCAUUUCUGACAGCCCUAGAGCAGUUAAUGUCUGCUGCUAAGGUUUCCACUAUAGAUGCAAGAAAAAAGUCCUUGUGCUGUCUGUCUGUGGCAGCCAAGAUUUGAAUGAGGGAAUACAAGA